This 1188-nucleotide long non-coding RNA is filed under the name Mus musculus (house mouse). Its description in RNAcentral is "predicted gene 12519". The record is from RNAcentral. Lineage: Eukaryota; Metazoa; Chordata; Mammalia; Rodentia; Muridae.
ACACUUCCUUAGCUAGGAGCUAGCAAUGCUACGUGGAAUUGCAUGUCGAAAAUAUUUAAAAAGUCAACCUGCCAUCUCUCCUGCCCUGCUCGUCCAAGUUCCCACUCUAGUUCCAGUACUGGCAGGCUUCACCACUAUAUCCCAGCAGGGUCCUGCUUGGCAUGUUCUCCCAGGUAUCUUCUGAGAGGUUGUUCUCUCUCCACUUCUCAUUCAAGUCUGAAGAUGCUUACAGUCACCUGCAGUACUUCUAAAUCAGGUCAGUUUUGGGUCUGCUGCCUAUAUUGGACAGUAUGAUCCUCAGGGGAAAUAUACUAUAAUCUUUUGAAAUCUUGCCACCCAGCAUGUAUGCAAUGCAAUCCAUGGGUCUGUUAAUGUUUUCUUAAAUGAUUUUUUUUUCAGAUUUAUACCCCAUGGCAUAAAACAAAGCAACGUAGAAAAUCUCUGACUGCUCCAUAAUGCUGACUUCACAAAGUCCCCAGCCACCCACAGGAUCUCUCAAAGUUGUCAUCUGGAGGAUAGGGGAGCUUUGGGGAAAAAAUCAGAGCCCCUCAAUUACCAAUUCUGACAACUCUUAUUUUAGCUUGAAUCUCCCCAUGCAAAUAGACAGUUGACAUGUGAUUGGAGAAGAAAUAGAAGUAUGUUUCUAUUAAAACCAUGUUCCUUAAGUUGUCGCUCUGAAUUUAUAUCCCUCUGGCCUUUGCCAAGUUGGCUCUGGGCUAUAUUCUGUCCUGAAAUUAGAGCAUUCUUCUUGUAGCCCCAGGAGAUGCCUAAGAUCCUUGAAGAUGAAAACCAGACUCUGAACCAUAGCUUUGGGAAUUAGGGGAGUCCAAAGUGUAACUUCCCUAUGCAACAUGCUUGGGAUAACCCAGCUUUCCUUUGCACUUCUGAUUAGAGUUUUGAGAUGGAAGAGGUCACAGCUCCAAUGAUCUCAGCCGAAGAAGAUGAGGAAGAAGACCAGCACAAGUGAGUCUCUCUCAAAUCAGCUUUUGCUGGUAUCAGGAUUUCUCUGGAGGACUCAACAAAGUCCUCUCCAUGCCUGAGAUUCCUACAAUGAUUGAAAUUCCAUUGUUUCUUCCCCGUGGCAUCCAGCCCACUGUACGCUGUGGCAUUUGGACAGGUUCUUGCCUCGAGUUCCUGCUCUGCCUUCAUUUCACUAUACCUAGAAGCUGAAAUAAACUAUUUCCUCCA